AAAAUAUGAUGUUUUGUUAGUGUGGCUUCACUAGCAAUAUUUUAUGUGGUAAGUGUCGUUGAUAUUAGAUCAAUAGGCAUGCUAAUUGUUUGGCUUUUGAAGAUUAAUGCUGGAAGUGGUUGUAGUUGACACUCCAUUAAGUUAUAGAGGUAACUACCUACUUGAUACACAUGCAUAAGUAUUUUAUUACUGCCUGUGUUUAUCGCUGCUUGUCAAAUGCUUUGUUGUGGGGGAGAGAUUGUUUCGAUUGAUAUGCAGUUCAUGAAGCACUGCACUCUCAUGAUAUGAUUCUCAGUUUGCUGAUUUCUUCACCAAAUCUGUCGUCACAAGGUUGUGUGAACCAAUGGUUCUGUUUUUAUGUUGUUUGUGAUAUACUUUUCUUGAUCAUGUUUAUAG
Ipomoea nil (Japanese morning glory) is the source of this 396-nucleotide long non-coding RNA. RefSeq lists it as uncharacterized. The transcript is spliced from 3 exons. NCBI's taxonomy places the organism in Eukaryota, Viridiplantae, Streptophyta, Magnoliopsida, Solanales, Convolvulaceae. The record is from RefSeq and is a predicted model, not a curated record.